GAUGAACGCUGGCGGCGUGCCUAAUACAUGCAAGUCGAGCGAACAGACGAGGAGCUUGCUUCUCUGACGUUAGCGGCGGACGGGUGAGUAACACGUGGAUAACCUACCUAUAGGACUGGGAUAACUUCGGGAAACCGGAGCUAAUACCGGAUAAUAUAUUGAACCGCAUGGUUCAAUAGUGAAAGACGGUUUUGCUGUCACUUAUAGAUGGAUCCGCGCCGCAUUAGCUAGUUGGUAAGGUAACGGCUUACCAAGGCAACGAUGCGUAGCCGACCUGAGAGGGUGAUCGGCCACACUGGAACUGAGACACGGUCCAGACUCCUACGGGAGGCAGCAGUAGGGAAUCUUCCGCAAUGGGCGAAAGCCUGACGGAGCAACGCCGCGUGAGUGAUGAAGGUCUUCGGAUCGUAAAACUCUGUUAUUAGGGAAGAACAAAUGUGUAAGUAACUAUGCACGUCUUGACGGUACCUAAUCAGAAAGCCACGGCUAACUACGUG
RNAcentral lists this ribosomal RNA (497 nucleotides) under uncultured bacterium. RNAcentral describes it as "partial 16S ribosomal RNA". It matches the Rfam family "Bacterial small subunit ribosomal RNA", at positions 28 to 507 of the family's 1533-position model. The record is from RNAcentral.